This 497-nucleotide ribosomal RNA is filed under the name uncultured bacterium. RNAcentral's name for it is "partial 16S ribosomal RNA". It matches the Rfam family "Bacterial small subunit ribosomal RNA", at positions 28 to 507 of the family's 1533-position model. The record is from RNAcentral.
GAUGAACGCUGGCGGCGUGCCUAAUACAUGCAAGUCGAGCGGACACACGCGGAGCUUGCUCCUCUGACGUUAGCGGCAAGCGGGUGAGUAACACGUGGAUGACCUACCUAUACGACUUGGCUCACUUCGGGGAACCGCAGCUAAUACCGGCUAAUAUUUUGGACCGCAUAGUUCAAUCCUGAAGGACGGUUUUGCUGUCACUUAUAGAUUGAUCCGCGCCGCAUUAUCUAGUUGGUAAGGUAACGGCAUACCCCGGCAACGAUGCGUAGCCGACCUGGGAGGGUCAUCGGCCACACGAGAAGUGAGACACGGCCCAGACUCCGACGGGAGGCAGCAGUAGGGAAUCUUACGCAAGGGGCGAAAGCCUGACGGAGCAACGCCGCGUGAGUGAUGAAGGUCUGCGGAUCGGGAAACUCUGUAAUUAGGGAAGAAGAAAUGUGUAAGUAACUAUGCACGUCUUGACGGUACCUAAACAGAAAGCCACGGCUAACUACGUG